Centruroides sculpturatus (bark scorpion) is the source of this 123-nucleotide small nuclear RNA. The record is from RefSeq and is a predicted model, not a curated record. NCBI's taxonomy places the organism in Eukaryota, Metazoa, Arthropoda, Arachnida, Scorpiones, Buthidae.
GUGUUGAAUGAAAGGAGAGACAGUUAGCAUUUCACUUGAUAAAGAUGGAAUGCCCUCUGGUCCUCAACACAAAUAUAUAUACAGUAGAUCCCCCUAUAAGACGGUAGAUACGUUCCGUUCUUU